RNAcentral lists this ribosomal RNA (253 nucleotides) under uncultured bacterium. RNAcentral describes it as "partial 16S ribosomal RNA". It matches the Rfam family "Bacterial small subunit ribosomal RNA", at positions 524 to 776 of the family's 1533-position model. The record is from RNAcentral.
GACGAGGGGUCCUAGCGUUGUUCGGAAUUACUGGGCGUAAAGCGCAUGUAGGUGGCUUGAUAAGUCAGGUGUGAAAGCCUUGGGCUUAACCUGAGAAGUGCAUUUGAUACUGUCAAGCUUGAGUAUGGGAGAGGGUAGUAGAAUUCCUGGUGUAGUGGUGAAAUACGUAGAUAUCAGGAGGAAUACCGGUGGCGAAGGCGGCUACCUGGCCCAAUACCGACACUGAGAUGCGAAAGCGUGGGGAUCAAACAGG